UGGCGGACGGGUGAGUAAUGUCUGGGAAACUGCCCGAUGGAGGGGGAUAACUACUGGAAACGGUAGCUAAUACCGCAUAACGUCGCAAGACCAAAGAGGGGGACCUUCGGGCCUCUUGCCAUCGGAUGUGCCCAGAUGGGAUUAGCUAGUAGGUGGGGUAACGGCUCACCUAGGCGACGAUCCCUAGCUGGUCUGAGAGGAUGACCAGCCACACUGGAACUGAGACACGGUCCAG
RNAcentral lists this ribosomal RNA (235 nucleotides) under uncultured bacterium. Its description in RNAcentral is "partial 16S ribosomal RNA". It matches the Rfam family "Bacterial small subunit ribosomal RNA", at positions 96 to 334 of the family's 1533-position model. RNAcentral also lists the same sequence under 1 other name. The record is from RNAcentral.